AAGUCCCCUGUGAUAUCCAUGUGUUCUCUGGACACCUCGGCCAUGAGCUCUGCCUGCGUUGCAUUCUGCAGGAGAUAGUGCUGUCUCCAGAAACCAUGGAUAGGCCAGUGCUUGAAAUCACAACUGGAGUGAAAUGAGGUCCCUGUGGCACACGCUUGCACUGGUACUUGCUCUUCUCUGCAGGAGUCUCAACUUGAGCAGAAGCCAUGAGCAGAUCUUCCUCAACCCUUAAUAGCCACAUCUCUGGUCUAAAACUUUGAAUGCAGUCUUAAAACUAAGGGCAGAGCUGAAGGCCUGUGCUGACUGAAGGCUUCUCCUGGUGUUCUGCCCAGGGACCUGGUCCUUCGCACUCCUGUAGAUAUGAAGCCUCCAAAUGCUCCGGUGUGUGCUCUGACAGCAAGGGAGGUGCAGAAGACAUUUUCCGACCAAAACAUCUUCAACUGUUUUUUGGCUUCAAGUUGUCAAAAGAUUUGGAGUAUUAGAUACCAAUCCUCAAGCCUGAAAGUUAAUUUUCUCCAGAUCUCUGAGCAUCCACCAAACCACACCAUUUCAAAGGUGUACAUUGCAAAGCAAAGCCUGCUUUCAGUUCUGAAGGCACAGCGUCAAGUCCUGGUGCUUCACAAGGAGCCACGGCCAAGUGUGUACGGGGACAGUUGGCAGCAAAUACGUGGUAGAUCUGAGUUUUCCUGUGACGUGCCAACGCCCUGGUUGUAUCUCUGUGUGGUGCCUGCCUCCCGGCUGGCUGAUGGGCUGAGACGUGAGCGAGGGGUCUCCUUCCCUAGCACGGGGGUUGGACAGAAGCAGGCAGGAGGGCUGGUGUGAGGAAGCAGGUGAAGAGCUGGGUUUCUGGCUGCCCACGCAGCUCCAGCCUGACAAAACAUUGGCAGGAGUGACCCCAGAGCAUCCGGCGGUGAUCAGAUGGAGGCGGCGGUUCCCUUAAUGCACGUUUUUCCAAACCACCUUUCCCUUGUGCUGCAUUAUCACA
RNAcentral lists this long non-coding RNA (985 nucleotides) under Anser cygnoides (Swan goose). RNAcentral describes it as "lncRNA (ENSACDG00005000585.1)". The record is from RNAcentral. Lineage: Eukaryota; Metazoa; Chordata; Aves; Anseriformes; Anatidae.